UAAACAGGUGGUGCAUGGUUGUCGUCAGCUCGUGUCGUGAGAUGUUGGGUUAAGUCCCGCAACGAGCGCAACCCUCGUUCUAUGUUGCCAGCACGUAAUGGUGGGAACUCAUGGGAUACUGCCGGGGUCAACUCGGAGGAAGGUGGGGAUGACGUCAAAUCAUCAUGCCCCUUAUGUCUUGGGCUUCACGCAUGCUACAAUGGCCGGUACAAAGGGCUGCAAUACCGCGAGGUGGAGCGAAUCCCAAAAAGCCGGUCCCAGUUCGGAUUGAGGUCUGCAACUCGACCUCAUGAAGUCGGAGUCGCUAGUAAUCGCAAAUCACCAACGCUGCGGUGAAUACUUUCCCGGGUCUUGUACACACCG
Molecule: ribosomal RNA, 363 nt
Filed under: uncultured soil bacterium
Lineage: Bacteria
Description: bacterial SSU rRNA
Rfam family: Bacterial small subunit ribosomal RNA
Source: RNAcentral